CCUACGGGUGGCUGCAGUCGAGAAUCUUCGGCAAUGGGGGAAACCCUGACCGAGCGACGCCGCGUGUGGGAUGAAGGCCCUUGGGUUGUAAACCACUGUCAGAGGGGAUGAAGUGCGGGAGAGCAAUCUCUUCCGUUUGACAUAGCCUCAGAGGAAGCACGGGCUAAGUUCGUGCCAGCAGCCGCGGUAAUACGAACUGUGCAAACGUUAUUCGGAAUCACUGGGCUUACAGGGUGCGUAGGCGGCUUGUUAAGCAGGGUGUGAAAUCCCUCGGCUCAACCGAGGAAUUGCGCCCUGAACUGGCGAGCUUGAGUGGGACAGAGGUGCGUGGAACUUCCAGUGGAGCGGUGAAAUGUGUUGAUAUUGGAAGGAACACCAGAGGCGAAAGCGGCGCACUGGGUCUCAACUGACGCUGAGGCACGAAAGCCAGGGGAGCAAACGGGAUUAGAUACCCUAGUAGUC
RNAcentral lists this ribosomal RNA (462 nucleotides) under uncultured bacterium. RNAcentral's name for it is "bacterial SSU rRNA". It matches the Rfam family "Bacterial small subunit ribosomal RNA", at positions 338 to 795 of the family's 1533-position model. The record is from RNAcentral.